This 268-nucleotide long non-coding RNA is filed under the name Marmota monax (woodchuck). The record is from RNAcentral. Lineage: Eukaryota; Metazoa; Chordata; Mammalia; Rodentia; Sciuridae.
CUUACAUCUUUAUCUCUUUCAUCUAAAGAAAAUGUUCAUUUUUCUAUAGGACUUACUUAUGGAAGAUUAAUUUUUAAAAAAUAUUUAUUCUUAAGCUUUAGGUGGACACAAUAUUUAAGUGUUGCUGAGGAUCGAACCCAGUGCCUCGUGCAUGCUAGGCGAGCACUCUACCACUGAGCCACAACCCCAGCCCAGGAAUAUUAAUUUUUUAAGUAGGAUUUUUUGGAUGGUUUGUCUUAGGUGGAAACAACUAUAUUGGAUGAUUUAG